UUAACACAAUGAAUAAAUCACUGUCAGUUUUAAUAUUUUUAAUUUUUUAUGUGAUUAUACAAAAAUGUGACUGCAGAUCAAAUUUAAGAAAUGAUUUAAAGGGUUAUUAUAAACCUGUGAAUGAUAAAAAAAGCGAAAACCGUUUUCAAAUAAAAUUACCUGUAAUUAAUUUCCCUAGUAACAAGAAUGUAAAUAAUUACUUAGAAAUGGAAAGAAGUAAUCCAGGUAGCAUGUGGAAUAACAACAAGAGUCGUAGUAGUGGUAGUGGUAGUCCAACAGGUUCCUAUUCAUCAACAGCAGUAGCAGCAAUAGUAGCAAACGCUACACCCUCUUUAUUAAAUGCAGUUUAUUUAUUUGCUUCUGUAUGUUUUAUAUUAUGUUUAACAGGGUUAAAUGAUUUUAAAACAUCAAAAAGAGGUAAUAUAUUAGGUAUUGUUGGUAUUAUAUCAGCUAUAUUAGUAACAUUUAUGCAAGUUGGAUAUGCUUUUAACUAUGGUUUAUUUUUUUUAAUUAUAAUUCCAGCAAUAAUUUUGGGUUUGUAUAUAGCACAUACUGUAAGCAUGGUCCAGUUGCCACAGUUAGUAGCACUAUUUCAUAGUUUUGUUGGUUUGUCUGCUUUAUUAGUAGGUUUUUCGAAAUACCAUUCUGUACUUCUAGAACAAUAUGAGAUUAGUAAGUUGCAUUUAAUUGAACUUUAUCUUGGGACAUUUAUUGGUGCCAUUACAUUUGUUGGUUCUAUUGUAGCUUGUUGUAAAUUAAGUGGGAUAAUUGAUAGUAAAUCUUUAAAACUAAAAAUGAAAAUUUUUUUUAAUAUAUUAUGUAUGAUUAUAAUUAUAAUAUUAGGCUAUUAUUUUAUUACUACACAAUCAAAGUAUGUUAGAACUAUUUUGUUGUACAUAUCUGUUUUGGUUGAAACGUUACUUGGUUUUCAUUUAGUAGCAUCAAUAGGUGCCGCGGAUAUGCCUGUUGUUAUCAGCACUUUAAACUCGUACUCUGGUUUUUCUACUGCUAUUAGUGGUUUUUUAUUAGAGAAUAAUUUAUUAAUUAUAGCAGGAGCAUUGAUUGGUUCUGCUGGGGCUAUUUUAUCUUACAUUAUGUGUAUAAGUAUUAACCGUGACAUAUUAAAUGUUGUGUUAGGUACAUGGGAUGAAUAUGACAAUAUAUCGGUUUCGUCAAUUCAUGACAAAAAAAAUAUGCAGGAUGGAAAGAUAGGAGAAACCGAUUUAAGUAAAAAAAAAAAAAAAACAAUAAACUCAACGACAUAUAAAUAUGUAGCUGAAAAUUUAAUUAACGCUAAAAACAUAAUUAUAGUUCCAGGAUAUGGUGCAGCAGUUAGUAAAUGUCAAAGAGAGUUAGCAGAAUUGAGUAGUAUAUUAAGUUCUCGAAAUAUUGAAGUAAAUUUUGCUAUACAUCCAGUAGCUGGUAGAAUGCCUGGACAUUUAAAUGUGCUGCUAGCUGAAGCAAAUGUGCCAUAUAAUAUAGUUAAAGAAAUGAAUGAAAUUAAUAAUAAAAUAGAAAAUGCAGAUAUGGUAUUAGUUGUAGGUGCUAAUGAUAUAGUAAACCCUUCUUGUUAUGAUCCAGGAAGUAACAUUUAUGGUAUGUCUGUUAUUGAAGUAUGGAAAAGUAAACAAGUUGUUGUUUUAAAAAGAGGAAUGAACACUGGAUAUUCAGCAAUUGACAAUCCAUUAUUUCAUUUUCAUAAUACUUAUAUGCUUUUUGGUGAUGCAAAACAUACAGUUAAUCAACUUCUAACUAUUAUGAAUGAUUACACUAGUCGAAAUUAUGUAGAUAAUAUAAAUGCAAUUGGUAGGUCCAUAGAAAAUAAAGAAAAAGGUAAAGCUAUGUCUUUUCACUCUAUUACAGAAAACAUACUUAACUCAGAUGCGUUAGAACAAGCGGAAGUAGACUAUCCAAAGGCUAGACGAAUAUUAGGUCUUAUAUCAGAUACAAAUGUUGUAUCAAAUAGUCAGUUAAAAAAAGAAAAAGGACGAAAACAACAAAAUGAAGAUGCAAAUGCUCAAUCAGGAGUUGUAAAUCUUUCUAUUGUUCCUAUUAUCCCACAAUAUAUACCUAAAUUAAAAAAAAUGGGUUUUCAUGUAAUAAUAGAAAAAGGAUUAGGAGAAAAAAUAAGCAUAAACGAUUCGGAAUAUGAAAAAUAUGGUGCUGAAAUAAAAGAACAAGAAAAUGUGUUAAGAGAAAGUAACAUUUUAUUAAAAGUUGAUCCACCAAGUAUGAAGUUUAUUAAUAAAAUACCAAACAAUACAGUUUUAAUUAGUUAUUUAUGGCCUAGUAUAAAUAAAGAAUUGUUAGAAAAAGCAAUAGAAGAUAAAAACAAACAAAACAUCACAUAUAUAGCUAUUGAUGAAGUCCCUAGGUCUAGUCGUGCACAAAAAGUGGAUAUCAGAAGUUCCAUGAGUAAUUUACAAGGAUAUCGGGCUGUUAUUGAAGCAUUUUAUAUGUUACCUAGGUUUAGUAAAUCAUCUAUUACUGCAGCAGGCAAAAUAAAUCCAGCUAAGGUUUUUGUCAUCGGAGCAGGAGUUGCUGGUUUGCAGGCAAUAGUAACAGCUAAGAGUAUGGGUGCUAUAGUAUAUGCACAUGAUGUACGUGCAGCAACAGAAGAAGAAGUAAAAAGUUGUGGAGGUGUGUUUAUUAACAUACCGACUGAUAGUGAUAAGGAUUAUAAUGAAGCAGAAGCGGAAAAUGCGGGAGUAGAAAAGUCGGAAGUAGAAAAAAUAGAAGUAGUUAUACCAAAUGAUGAAAAAGACCAACCAGAUGACGCAAAAAAACACUCAACAAGCGUAAACGGAAACAAAGAUGAAGAAUAUGAAAAAAGACGAAACAACAUAUAUAAAAAAAUUAUACAAAACUGUGAUGUUGUGAUUUGUAGUGCAUUUAUCCCUGGUAAAAGUUCUCCUAAAUUAGUUACCACAGAAAUGAUUAGACUUAUGAAAAGUGGCAGUGUAGCAGUAGAUUUAUCCACUGAAUUUGGUGAUAAAAAAAAUAAUUGGGGUGGAAAUAUCGAAUGUUCUGAGUCCAAUAAAAAUGUCAUAAUAAAUGGAGUAAAUGUAUUAGGAAGAGACAAAAUAGAAAGAAAUAUGCCACUUCAAGCAUCAGAUUUACUUUCAAUGAAUAUAAUAAAUUUAUUAGAAGAAAUGGGAGGUGGUUUACAAUUUAAUGUAAAUCUUAACAAUGAUAUUAUAAAACCAUUAGUUGCAAUUAAAGAUGGUGCUAUAUUAUAUUCUCCAAACAACUCACUUGAAAAAUUAAAUAAAAGUGAUAGUGUAUUUAUUAGUAAACAAGUAGAUAUAAAACAUGAGUAUUCUGUAGAAAAAAAUAAAAUCACAUACCCUACUGGUACAUGUUUAUUAGAAAAGUUUACAGAGUCAGACAUUUUCUUUUAUACUUGUCUUAUUUGUGCUAUGCUAAUUACAAUAUUAAUAGGAGUAAUGUUUACUCAGUCUUACUUACAUCACGUAUUUCUGUUUACUUUAUCUUUGAUUGUUGGAUAUUAUUGUGUGUGGUCCGUAACGUCUUCAUUGCAUACGCCUUUAAUGUCGGUCACGAAUGCGCUAUCUGGAGUUAUAAUUAUCGGAAGUAUGGUUGAAUACGGGAAUAGUUACACAAGUUUAAGUUCGAUUAUGUCGAUAAUGGCUACCUUUUUAGCUACUGUAAAUUUAUCAGGUAUUGCUGCGAUUACUUCAUGUAUUUCGUUUCAUUCGUUUAUCUGUUUGUGAAAAAAAAAAAAAAAAACACAAAAAAAACUUUUCUAAAAGUGUUUACUCACAUGUAUUGUGCACUGGUACGGGUAAAAUCGUCCACCACGUUAAAGCGUAUGCAACAAUCAUAUAAUACGUUUUGUUUUUUAUAUUUGCUCACACUCAUUAUUUUAUACUUUUUUUUAGGAGGAUUUGCUGUAACUAAAAGAAUGCUUGACAUGUUUACAAACUAGAAGCAUAACAUUUUUUUUUUUUUUUUUUUUUUCAGUAAAAGUUGGGUAUUUUUGAGAAUAUUUAAUUAAUUUGUAUAUAUUUUCUUUUUUCUAUUUUUUUAGCUUACUUUCAAUUCAAACUUUUUCUAAAAAUUUUUUAAUGAUUUUAUCUAUCCAUAUUGUUUAUGUUUUCUCGAAAAUAGCUAUACUUCUUUGUUUGUCUUUUUUUUGCCUUGUUAUUUAUUUUAUUAUUAUUUUUUUUAACUAUUAUCUAAAUUUAAAUAUUAAAAUAUUUAUUAAAGUUGUGCCCGUUUGUUCGUUCGCUUUUAUAAUCUUUUUUUUU
RNAcentral lists this long non-coding RNA (4271 nucleotides) under Piliocolobus tephrosceles (Ugandan red Colobus). Its description in RNAcentral is "lncRNA (ENSPTEG00000012494.1)". Lineage: Eukaryota; Metazoa; Chordata; Mammalia; Primates; Cercopithecidae. The record is from RNAcentral.